UACGGAGGGAGCUAGCGUUGUUCGGAUAUACUGGGCGUAAAGCGCACGUAGGCGGCGCCGUAAGUCAGGGGUGAAAUCCCGGAGCUCAACUCCGGAGCUGCCCUUGAAACUGCAGUGCUAGAAUCUUGGAGAGGCGAGUGGAAUUCCGAGUGUAGAGGUGAAAUUCGUAGAUAUUCGGAAGAACACCAGUGGCGAAGGCGACUCGCUGGACAGUGACUGACGCUGAGACGCGAAAGCGUGGGGAGCAAACAGG
This 253-nucleotide ribosomal RNA is filed under the name uncultured bacterium. RNAcentral's name for it is "partial 16S ribosomal RNA". It matches the Rfam family "Bacterial small subunit ribosomal RNA", at positions 524 to 776 of the family's 1533-position model. The record is from RNAcentral.